CCGGGAAGAGCUCAAAUUUGAAAUCUGGCGUGCUCAGUGUGUCCGAGUUGUAAUCUAUAGAGCCGUUUUCCGUGCCGGACUGUGUCCAAGUCCCUUGGAACAGGGUUUCAAAGAGGGUGAUAAUCCCGUACUUGACACAAUGACCGGUGCUCUGUGAUACGUCUUCUACGAGUCGAGUUGUUUGGGAAUGCAGCUCAAAAUGGGUGGUGAGUUCCAUCUAAAGAUAAAUAUUGGCGAGAGACCGAUAGCGAACAAGUACCGUGAGGGAAAGAUGUAAAGCACUUUGGAAAGAGAGUUAAACAGUACGUGAAAUUGUUAAAAGGGAAGCGAUUGAAGUCAGUCGUGACUGAGAGGCUCAGCCGGUUCUGCCGGUAUAUUCCCCUCAGUCGGGUCAACAUCAGUUUUGUUCGGUGGAUAAGGGAAGUUGGAAGGUGGCACCCUCGGGUGUGUUAUAGGCAGCUGUCGCAUACAUCGGAAGAGACUGAGGAAUGCAGCUCGCCUUUAUGGCCGGGCUUCGCCCACGUUCGAGCUUUGGAUGUUGACAUAAUGGCUUUAAACGACCCG
This 564-nucleotide ribosomal RNA is filed under the name Papiliotrema sp. KCNT-2019a. RNAcentral's name for it is "partial large subunit ribosomal RNA". It matches the Rfam family "Eukaryotic large subunit ribosomal RNA", at positions 98 to 651 of the family's 3401-position model. The record is from RNAcentral. Lineage: Eukaryota; Fungi; Basidiomycota; Tremellomycetes; Tremellales; Rhynchogastremaceae.